Molecule: non-coding RNA, 882 nt
Organism: Misgurnus anguillicaudatus (oriental weatherfish)
Lineage: Eukaryota; Metazoa; Chordata; Actinopteri; Cypriniformes; Cobitidae
Source: RefSeq, a predicted model, not a curated record
CAGAGUUUUCGUGAGGUAAUCUUUCUAAUGCUGGGAGUGAAGGCAGUGCGUAUGACCGCUUGAUAUGAAAGACACAUCCUGUUUUUAAAGGUGGAUCAUGAGUGAAGCUCUGCAGGUCUGCCAUUAGCUUGAUAACAGUGGUUUAUGUGAAUUGAGUGAAUUCAAUUUAUAAAUAAAUCUUUCACCAAGCAUUCACCUAUUUACGGACAAAACAGAUCCAAAUCUUGUUCAGCCUGAUGCUCAACCUUGUAUGAUGAUGACCACAGCCAGGUAAUGGAGAUCUGUUUUAAUCACAGCCUGCGUCUCAAGAUCAACAUGACAAUACCAGACCAUUUCUUAUCUUACUCUUAUCUGACUAAAUGUUCAGCAUCAUUGCAACAAAACAAAGAACAUUAGAUGGAGUAUUGGAGUAUUGGAUGAUCCCGUAAAGAAAAUAAUAUGGACUUUUUUGGUGAGAUUCUACAAAGAUUGACACAAUCCUAUUGACUUUUAUUUUACAGUUAAUAAUGCAUUAUAAACAUCCCAUUCAUUUGUAUUCUAUGUCAUCGAUCUGUUUGUGCUAAAAUGUAUACAUCUGAAUGUAAUGUCAAUAAUAUGUUAAUAUUCAGGAUUUAUUAUCAUUUGCAUGUUUUGAUGUUGCAUAUUAUGAUUUUAUUGAUUUCAUGUAAUUGUUGUCUAUUUAAAAUUAUUUUAAUUGCCAAUUUUUUUUGUUACUUUAUUUAAUAUUGAAGCUGUUAUUUAACAUCCAUAUCUUAUUUGAGUAGUGAUUUGUUAUAUUUGCAUAAUAAUUCAUAUAUUUAUUCUGAUUGUGAUUUUAAUGCAAAUAUUUAUUAUUGUAUGACACCUCAUGUAAUGAAAAAGUGAAAAUAAAAGUAUGUUCUG